GAUGGCUCACGCCUGUAAUCCCAGCACUUUGGGAGGCCCAGCAUGACAACUGGCAAGAUUCCAAGAGGUGGAAUGAGGGCUCCUUCAGCUUGUGUCCCUGAGAGAGGACAAUGUGGUAAAGCAAUGGAACCUCCAAUGGACAUAUGACAAGGUGCUCAUGUUAAUGGCUCAAACAAAUUAUGGAUUUAUUCUCCCUCAUAAAAGAAGUCUGGAAGUUGUCGGUCAAGGGUUGAUAACAGUGUUGAUGAUUCACUCAGCUAUCAGCCAAGAAGCUUCCUGCCUCUACUGUAAAUGAAGCCUGAAAUAUCCAAGCUACAUUAUCGCUAACUUGCCUAUGGUGGGACAUCUGUGGUUUUCUCCAUCUGGUUUCUAACUCCUACUGAUACAGAACGGCUAAAUUCCACCCUCAAGCCUGGACCCUCAGCCUUAAGUCAAAACAGCUGACCCUGAUACAGAACGGCUGAGCUCCUGUCUAAACUCCACCCUCAAGCCUGGACCCUCAGCCCUAAGUCAAAACAGCUGACCCUCAUACAGAACGGCUGGGCUCCUGGCUAAACUCCACCUCAAGCCUGGACCCUCAGCCUUAAGUCAAAACAGCUGACCCUGAUACAGAACGGCUGGGCUCCUGGCUAAACUCCACCCUCAAGCCUAGACCCUCAGCCUUAAGUCAAAACAGCUGACCCUGAUACAGAACGGCUGGGCUCCUGGCUAAACUCCACCCUCAAGCCUGGACUCUCAGCCUUAAGUCAAAACAGCUGACCCUGUUGCCUUUGUGGCCCACCCCACCUCCUAUCUUGUGCUUGCCUUUUGGCCCACCCAAUCCCCUAGCCUUUGCCCAUAAAAAGACUUCAGCUGGUGGAGCAAAAAGAGGUGGCUGAUGUAAGUGUUUGGGGAUGCAAGCUGCUGAACAUCAGGGUUACAUGCAGCUGAGCAUCCGAGACUAAGGAUAGACUCGGCUAACUUCAGAUGGUGUGGCUUCAGGAAAAGAUCACUUUCUUCCCAUACCAUCCCUUUACCAAUUCCCCAUCCCGCUGAUAGCCACUUUUAUUGCCCAAUAAACUCCUCCACAUA
Long non-coding RNA from Sapajus apella (tufted capuchin), 1071 nucleotides. RefSeq lists it as uncharacterized. The record is from RefSeq and is a predicted model, not a curated record. NCBI's taxonomy places the organism in Eukaryota, Metazoa, Chordata, Mammalia, Primates, Cebidae. The transcript is spliced from 4 exons.